GAGAUUGGUGUGAUCUUGCUAAAGACACUGGAAACUUUGUGAUUGGCCAGAUUCUUUCUGAUCAAAGCCGGGACACUAUAGUGGAAAACAUUCAGAAGAGGCUGAUAGAAAUUGGAGAAAAUGUGCUAAAUGGCAGUGUCCCAGUGAGCCAGUUUGAAAUUAACAAGGCAUUGACAAAGGAUCCCCAGGAUUACCCUGAUAAAAAAAGCCUACCUCAUGUACAUGUUGCCCUCUGGAUAAAUUCUCAAGGAGGCAGAAAGGUGAAAGCUGGAGAUACUGUGUCAUAUGUCAUCUGUCAGGAUGGAUCAAACCUCACUGCAAGUCAGAGGGCCUAUGCGCCUGAGCAGCUGCAGAAACAGGAUAAUCUAACCAUUGACACCCAGUACUACCUGGCCCAGCAGAUCCACCCAGUCGUGGCUCGGAUCUGUGAACCAAUAGACGGAAUUGAUGCUGUCCUCAUUGCAACGUGGUUGGGACUUGACCCCACCCAAUUUAGAGUUCAUCAUUAUCAUAAAGAUGAAGAGAAUGAUGCUCUACUUGGUGGCCCAGCACAGCUCACUGAUGAAGAGAAAUACAGGGACUGUGAAAGAUUCAAAUGUCCAUGCCCUACAUGUGGAACUGAGAAUAUUUAUGAUAAUGUCUUUGAUGGUUCGGUUAGUUGUUUCUGUCUUUCAUUUUGUGAGUGAACUUGUAUAAAGGCCUUACCCCCUUCCCCCACUAUGGGGUAUAUAAAAAGGGCGAAAUAAACACACACAUGUUGCUUUCAUGUGUUUAAAGAAUUUUAGCAUCAUGUGAAAUCUACCUUC
This 806-nucleotide small RNA is filed under the name Pan troglodytes (chimpanzee). RNAcentral describes it as "processed transcript". The record is from RNAcentral. Lineage: Eukaryota; Metazoa; Chordata; Mammalia; Primates; Hominidae.